RNAcentral lists this transfer RNA (85 nucleotides) under Candidatus Atribacter fermentans. Its description in RNAcentral is "tRNA-Pro". It matches the Rfam family "tRNA". From Rfam's summary of the family: Transfer RNA (tRNA) molecules are approximately 80 nucleotides in length. Their secondary structure includes four short double-helical elements and three loops (D, anti-codon, and T loops). Further hydrogen bonds mediate the characteristic L-shaped molecular structure. tRNAs have two regions of fundamental functional importance: the anti-codon, which is responsible for specific mRNA codon recognition, and the 3' end, to which the tRNAs corresponding amino acid is attached (by aminoacyl-tRNA synthetases). tRNAs cope with the degeneracy of the genetic code in two manners: having more than one tRNA (with a specific anti-codon) for a particular amino acid; and 'wobble' base-pairing, i.e. permitting non-standard base-pairing at the 3rd anti-codon position. Lineage: Bacteria; Pseudomonadati; Atribacterota; Atribacteria; Atribacterales; Atribacteraceae. The record is from RNAcentral.
GGGCGCGUGGCGGAACUGGAAGACGCAACAAUUUUGGGGAUUGUCGGUGCCGAUCACCAUGCGGGUUCGAAUCCCGUCGUGCCCA